Molecule: ribosomal RNA, 381 nt
Filed under: Triticum aestivum (bread wheat)
Lineage: Eukaryota; Viridiplantae; Streptophyta; Magnoliopsida; Poales; Poaceae
Description: partial small subunit ribosomal RNA
Source: RNAcentral
AUGCCAGGUGUUCCCAGGGGACUGGCUGAGCAUCGCCUAAGAGUUGACUCGUCUGCGAAGCCAGUCAAAGAACAUCUUCGACGGUCCGCCGUCCAGAAGAGAAAGGCCAUCGGUGAAGAAGUGGCUCGACUGUUGGCGGCAGGAUUUAUCCGAGAGAUAUACCACUCCGAGUGGCUCGCUAAUGUCGUCAUGGUUCCUAAGAAGGACAAGUCGCUCCGAAUGUGCAUUGAUUUCAAGCACAUCAACCGGGCCUGCCCGAAAGAUCACUUUCCUCUCCCUCGCAUAGAUCAAAUUGUUGACUCGACCGCGGGAUGCGAGAGGUUGUCUUUUUUAGAUGCUUACUCCGGGUACCACCAGAUCCGUCUGUACGGGCCCGAUGAG